GUCUCUAGAUGUCUGGAACAUUGAAUAGAAGUCAGCAGAGGUCAUAGUAGUUGAUAGUAAUGAGCAGGGAUUGCUAAGAC
Marivirga tractuosa DSM 4126 is the source of this 80-nucleotide non-coding RNA. The record is from Rfam. NCBI's taxonomy places the organism in Bacteria, Pseudomonadati, Bacteroidota, Cytophagia, Cytophagales, Marivirgaceae.